Molecule: ribosomal RNA, 516 nt
Filed under: uncultured Polaromonas sp. M7
Lineage: Bacteria; Pseudomonadati; Pseudomonadota; Betaproteobacteria; Burkholderiales; Comamonadaceae
Description: bacterial SSU rRNA
Rfam family: Bacterial small subunit ribosomal RNA
Source: RNAcentral
CUCAAAGGAAUUGACGGGGACCCGCACAAGCGGUGGAUGAUGUGGUUUAAUUCGAUGCAACGCGAAAAACCUUACCUACCUUUGACAUGUACGGAACUCGCCAGAGAUGGCUUGGUGCUCGAAAGAGAACCGUAACACAGGUGCUGCAUGGCUGUCGUCAGCUCGUGUCGUGAGAUGUUGGGUUAAGUCCCGCAACGAGCGCAACCCUUGUCAUUAGUUGCUACAUUUAGUUGGGCACUCUAAUGAGACUGCCGGUGACAAACCGGAGGAAGGUGGGGAUGACGUCAAGUCCUCAUGGCCCUUAUAGGUAGGGCUACACACGUCAUACAAUGGAUGGUACAAAGGGUCGCCAACCCGCGAGGGGGAGCCAAUCCCAUAAAACCAUUCGUAGUCCGGAUCGCAGUCUGCAACUCGACUGCGUGAAGUCGGAAUCGCUAGUAAUCGUGGAUCAGAAUGUCACGGUGAAUACGUUCCCGGGUCUUGUACACACCGCCCGUCACACCAUGGGAGCGGGUU